Molecule: transfer RNA, 65 nt
Filed under: Tuberaphis sp. 1 TTX-2016
Lineage: Eukaryota; Metazoa; Arthropoda; Insecta; Hemiptera; Hormaphididae
Also listed under: 1 other name
Description: tRNA-Leu
Source: RNAcentral
UCUAUUAUGGCAGAAAUAUGCAAUGAACUUAAAAUUCAUUUAUAAAGAACAUUCUUUUUUUAGAA